Long non-coding RNA from Scatophagus argus, 1869 nucleotides. RefSeq lists it as uncharacterized. The record is from RefSeq and is a predicted model, not a curated record. The transcript is spliced from 7 exons. Lineage: Eukaryota; Metazoa; Chordata; Actinopteri; Scatophagidae.
GAAAAACAUUUUUGGACCUUAUAUCACCUUCACCGACUCAGAGCAGAUGCUCAGCGGUUUGACGCGGCCUUUUACCUUCAUAUCCAUUCAGGCUAAACUACAGAGGCUGCUGGCCCGGUUGGCUUCCCAGACGGCUUCAUCUGAAGAACGUGGCCUGAAACAGAAGUCUGCAAACCGGCGGGUGAAAUCGGUGCCGUCGUCAACUGUUUAUUGUAUAGUGUCUGGUCGCCUGUCAGUGUCGCUGCAUCCCGUUUUCCCUGUCUAGGUGCUGUAACUUCCCUGGAAGCACAGGAAGCACCUGAUGAUGAUGAUGAUGAUGGUGGUGGUGGCCUCUGGAGGCAGAAAUGUCAUGCUGUGCCUCUGAGGUGGUUGCAACCACAACAAUGGAGCCCUCCUCCGCCUCUUCGUCCUUUUCCAGCAGCUGGACGACACAGGGCGUGACGUCAAACGGUAUCCUCUCAGCCACGGCUUCGGCCGUCUGUGCCGGCAGUCCUGGGCUUGAGCCUCUGGUGGACGGGACCUCCUCCCUCAGCGGGGACGGGGUCAAGGAGCACGGCUCCGGCUCCAAGGGAUGUCUUCAGACUCGGGCUCUGGCUCCUCUCCGACCGUCUCCACCACACCUCCAACCAUUUCAGCCAUCUGUCCGCUCAGCUGCCCGACAGUCUCCACCUGAAACCAGUUAGGUUUCCUGAUUUAGUUGCUUGUCGGAAACUGGAAGAUGAUUCAAGAGGCCACGUGAGUUUGAUUACAGACUGACAUCAUUUUCAAUUCACGUCACAGUCACAGGAAGAAAGAAACAGACAAAGAAGACAGGGAGGAAAGAAGAAAGGUGGACAAGCAGAAAAUGAGCUCCCCUGUCCCCACCACAGUUUGGUUUGCCUGUGCAGGACAUCAGAGACAGAAGACAGAUACUUAGCAGGCGAGUGCCUACGUGGUGUGCCUCGACCUGCGCCGCUCCCCACAGGUCGGCUAGGCGGGGGUGGGUGGGAGGACCCAGACUGUGGAUGGUGCUGUUGGGAGUGGCUUGAAGGGAAUGGGAGGCACUAUGUGGCCUGUGCUCCAUGGCCUGCAGUCAGAAGCUGUUGCUGCUGGUAGUGGUGAAGGUGUUGGAGCUGUUGGAGCUGGUUGUGCUGCUGCAGGGUGAGAUGAGCCUGGUGCUGCUGAAGGUAACUGCCUACCGUCCCCUCGUACCCCUCACCAGGUGUACCCCCGGCGCCGCUGCUGCCACCUGGAGCAACCACAAAACACUUCACCACGGAGCCUCGCGCCCAGAGACACAGUCGAACAUUUGGACAGAGUGCAACCCUCACCGGCAGCCAUGAUGUAGGAGCCUGCAGCAGGGGAGGCCACGCCCGAGGGCUGGCUGGUGAUUGGGUCCCAGGCGUCGGAGGACGACAGGCAGUACAGGCCCUGUGAGACGUAUGUGUGAGGCCAGACAUCCGCAGAGGAGUGAUGGAGCACCUGGUCUGUAGGAGAAGGUGGACAGGUUGGUAUGCCCCGCGCCCCCCAUUGGGCCUGCAGAUGGUUUGCCCCAGCUUUGCCAUUCGAUCAUGUGAGCAACACGACCCUGGGCCAUGGCGGUGGGCUUGGUCACUUUGUCCUUCAUGGACCGAGUUACACCUACAACAGGGAAAGGAAGUUCAAGCCCUGUCAGACCUCAACAGCAACUUGACCCUCGACCCUCUGCGGAGCUUGUGGAGGCAACAUGGGGGCUGUUUUACCAUCUAUCAGCACAGACACACACCUGACACACCUGACAGAGAGGACUUAGCCAGGGCACCGAUCCCGUAGGAGUUGGCGGACUUCCUCUUGAGACGAGGCAGAAUGGAAGUAGUGUCCUCCAUGGACAACUAAAGAGAGAGGGGGGAG